AAUAGUUGCUCUGCCUAAUUUUAAAUUUUCAAGUUCUCUCUCAAGUUUAGACAUAACUGUUAUAAUUUAAAGAUAAACUUGUGGGAUGAAAACUUGAUCUGAAGUCUAAGUUGUUAACGGAUAUGAUAUGGGAAGGUUGAGCUGCUGUUUAUAUGUUCCUAGAGAUGCUAGAAUUCUGGAGAAUUUUAUCUUUGAAAAUCUUUAACACAUGAUGAGUUCCUGUAUGAUGGGAGUUUAAAUUCCUACCACAGCCAUAUAUACAUGCUUGCUAGACUUUGAGCCACAUAUUUACUUUUUACUGCUUAUGAGCAUUGUGUGUGGUCAAGCUGUGUAGACCCUUAGGAGCUUGUCAUAUGGUUAAAUUAAUAUUCACUUGCACGUUCACUCAUACAUGCUACUUCUACUCCGGAAGUACCAUCCACAUAUAUCCACUCAUUUCCAUCUCCAGAAUCACCCAAAAAUAUUCUACUCCUAACCGGGAGAGAAUAGCCAAAAACAUUUCUGUUUUUCCCCUGUGAAAUAAAUGCUCAAGUUAUCUUGCUACUACCACUUGCUAUAUUAUCUCAUGAGAUGAGUGCUCUAAAAAAAGAGAAAAGAUACGAGGAAAUAAAAAAGGGCAAGUGCCCGGAACCUCGAAAGAAAAGAAAAAGUGAGACGAGAGGUAAAAAUGGACAAGUGUCCGACAGUAGAAUUAGGGGUACAAGAUACCCACCCGAGAGGAAAAAAAGAAGAGCAUCUCAUUCUCCUCACAAAAUUUCAAAAAAGCAAGAAAGGUAUGUAUCCCCUCAAAGAGCAAAUGUAGAAUUAGACUUUCACCAUUAUUUUCACCAUUGUUAUCUUCGCCAUACACCAUUCAUUCGCCACACAUGCACAUCUUGAUUUGACUUAUUGAUUUGUUUCCUUGGAUCCAUGGUUUGACUAUACAAUAAAUGUCUUGUAAGUAUGUAUAUUUUACCUCCCACCUAUGAGCUCCCGAUAUUAAAACCUUAUUAGAGUAGGGUGAGAGAGAAGGCAAUGUCACUAUGCUUUAUACCACAAAUACUACAUAUUCUUGAGAGAAGGCAUAUACCAUCACUGCCUUGGUAAGGAUCCAGAAAUACCACAAAGGAG
Molecule: long non-coding RNA, 1110 nt
Filed under: Sorghum bicolor (sorghum)
Lineage: Eukaryota; Viridiplantae; Streptophyta; Magnoliopsida; Poales; Poaceae
Description: long non-coding RNA (SBIC_LNC008154)
Source: RNAcentral